This 1450-nucleotide long non-coding RNA is filed under the name Bos grunniens (domestic yak). RNAcentral's name for it is "lncRNA (ENSBGRG00000011418.1)". Lineage: Eukaryota; Metazoa; Chordata; Mammalia; Artiodactyla; Bovidae. The record is from RNAcentral.
AAUGUAAUGUUAAGGGUUGGCCAGUAGAUGGCAGCAAGUUUGAACUUGGCCUGGGAAAUUGAGUUUCCUGGAACAGAAUAUGAGCGUCUGCCAGAGCAGUGAAGGUUUAAAGGUAAACAGCUCUGGAUAAAAAUGUCCAGUCUCCAGUCCUCAUCUUGAUGAGCAUCUUUGUAAAGUUCAUUUACAUCUCUAUGCUUUUUGGCAUUAAUUAAGAAAUACACAUUGAAACUCCCUAUUGUGCCGGGUGGAGUCAUCAUGGCAGAUGGGGUCACCACCAUUCUGAAGUUAUGUUCUGGUACCAUCACUUGGGUUGUCAUCUCAACAGAGAUGGUCCCUCAACGAUGCUGAAAGCAGGUGUGCCAAGGUGCAAAGCCAGGACUUACAGGGUGGUGUGGAAAGCACCCUUAUUUCAGCUCCCCGAAAACGCAAAAUGAGUACAACCACUGAGACUGAGAAGCAAGUUCCACACCUCACUAAAGGGAGGUCUGCACCAGCUAAGAAGACAAUGCAGUUUCUGGAAGGUUUAAUCAUAUCUUAACAACGAAAAAAAAAACAACAAAACAGUUUUAUGACACCCAGGCCUCAAAGUUGAUUAAUGUGCAACAGGCAUAGACAAGCCUGGAAAAUGUUUGACAGGUAAGUACGAAGUGACCCUCUCUUUUACCUCUGUCUUCAGGGUGUGUUGACAUGGUUGAGAUUCAGACCUGAGGCUGCCUCGCACUGCCAGUCAGAAUGCUGUUCCGUGCUGUUUCCUCAGGUAUAGCAGAGUCUAACCGGCAGACGUGGGCACUGUGUGUAAUCCAUGUGCCUCCGCGUCCUGAACCCAGGCCCACCACCCAGAAGGUUCACCAUAGCUCUGAAUUAAAGGAGUGGGCAGGUGAGCAUGAGGUCUGAGUUCCAUGCAGAACAGAGCCGUGUGCUUAUCCCAGGCCCAGUAGCAGUCAGGAAUAGCUGCCUUCCAUGGAAAGUGACCCAGACCCAACUACAUACUGGACCCCACCAUGAAAGCCACCGCCUCUGCAAUUAGGAACAGACGAUGGACAGAAAUAGAUGGGCUCUGUCAACCUCUAUGACCUCUUUGUUGAGUAGUUUGAGGCUCCCUGGAAAAUCUUUAGAUGCUUUGAGCCUAGAAGCCAGAACUUGAAGAACAUCUAGUUGUUGAAGAUUGGAGGCAGUGGUCUGUCUUAGAUCAUGCUGGUCUGUGUCGUACCUUUGACAUUAUAUUUAAACAUAGAUUUUUAUAUUUAAUAAACAAAAGGUUCCUGAGAGAUUCUCCGGAGCCUUCUGCUAACAUUAAUCAUCUUCCCCAACACAUGCUGCCAUUUGGACUGCAGAGCUGGCCAAGCUUUAGGGAGGGGUUGGGUGGCUGGAAUCACCGAUCCAUGCCGCCACUUCAUUAGAGUAAACGAUGGAAUGAAGCAGAUAUGCACCUUUUGCUGAACCCUUCUUU